Silurus meridionalis is the source of this 1265-nucleotide long non-coding RNA. RefSeq lists it as uncharacterized. NCBI's taxonomy places the organism in Eukaryota, Metazoa, Chordata, Actinopteri, Siluriformes, Siluridae. The transcript has 5 exons. The record is from RefSeq and is a predicted model, not a curated record.
UGGAUUCAAAUCCCAGCACCACCGAACGUCUAGGGCCUUGAGCAAGGUCUUUAAUCCUCAGUUGCUGAGACAAAAAAACCAGAUCGUGAAGAGAAGUGUUAAUGAGAUGCACGCUUUAAUCGCACCGCUCUGCUCGGUUAAGUGACAGUUGAAGGAUGACUAAUGCGCUCCAUUCCCAAACAACCCCUCACCCACCAACCCCCUCCUCCUUCUGCCACGUGAGUCAGCAUCGCUAUGGAAGCUGCUGCGAUCAACAUGGCUGCUGAGGACAUCUGCAGAAAACCUGGAAAAAGAUUUAGGAUUCUAGGGCGUUCCUCCGAGCUGAAGAGCAGAGGGGAAGAUGUGCGCCGACUCUAAAGUGACUCCUGCAGUCAACGCCACAGUAAAGGAUGGAACGCCAAGAGCCAGGCAAUAUAGCAUAGUGAAAGCUGAGCUACGGCUGAGGAAGUCGAGGAGGUGCUGCUGGUGAAAUGAGAGAGAACAGCUGGUCUAAAGAAGGAUCCGAUGGACCGGAUCAAGUCAAUGAAGUGUAGGUUUUUCCCAGAUGUGAGUUGCCAGUUCCAGAUGCGUCUUCUUUGGGUAUAUGUGGAUUGUCUGCUGCAUCAAUGAAGAUCCCCAGCACAACAGUUGUUCUCAGGCUGGCUGUGAUUUGCAAUACCUGAAGAGAGACUCAGUGAAAGUGAAUGGAGAUGGUGAGUAUUAUUAUGUCUGAUCAAGCCACACAACAAAAUCUCAAUUAUAUCCAUGACUGAUAAAACCUCUUCAUCUAAUUACAUGAAAAUCUACUUCACUGUACCACAGGUUUACGUUCCUGUAGUGUAUAAUGUUCCGAACUACGAGCCAGAUUUCAAUAAGAAUGAUUCUAACACAUACCUAUUGGAUUAUUAGUUAAAUUAUUGUUGUUAGUUCUUAGUACUUGGAUCGCAAUCUACACUAUAUGAACAAUAUCGCCACAUUGUGGACAAAAAGGUAGACUGAUAGUCAAACACAGACAGACAGACAGACAGACAGACAGACAGACAGACAGACAGACAGACAGACAGACAGACAGACAGACAGACGGACAAAAAGCUAGAUUGAUAAGCAGAUAAAAUGUAGAUAAAUAGACAGACAGACAGACAGACAGACAGACAGACAGACAGACAGACAGACAGACAGACAGACAGACAGACAGAUAGAUAGAUAGAUAGAUAGAUAGAUAGAUAGAUAGAUAGAUAGAUAGAUAGAUAGAUUGGACGAACAUUGAUUGUAUCGCCUAGGAAAAC